UACAGAGGGUGCGAGCGUUGUUCGGAAUUACUGGGCGUAAAGGGCUCGUAGGUGGCCAACUAAGUCAGACGUGAAAUCCCUCGGCUUAACCGGGGAACUGCGUCUGAUACUGGAUGGCUUGAGUUCGGGAGAGGGAUGCGGAAUUCCAGGUGUAGCGGUGAAAUGCGUAGAUAUCUGGAGGAACACCGGUGGCGAAGGCGGCAUCCUGGACCGACACUGACACUGAGGAGCGAAAGCCAGGGGAGCAAACGGG
RNAcentral lists this ribosomal RNA (253 nucleotides) under uncultured bacterium. Its description in RNAcentral is "partial 16S ribosomal RNA". It matches the Rfam family "Bacterial small subunit ribosomal RNA", at positions 524 to 776 of the family's 1533-position model. The record is from RNAcentral.